RNAcentral lists this small RNA (328 nucleotides) under Pan troglodytes (chimpanzee). RNAcentral describes it as "processed transcript". The record is from RNAcentral. Lineage: Eukaryota; Metazoa; Chordata; Mammalia; Primates; Hominidae.
UGGUUGAAUACCUCCCUCUCCACUCCCAACUUCAGGGUAGAGGUCUAGAGCUGCUCUUGGCUCUUUAUGCAUUCUACUUUGACCCUAUCAAAACCUCAUUUCUCUUCCAAGAGAAAGGCCAGCAGAGUGCACCACUGCUCCUGUUUACCUCCUCCUCCAAUAACAGGAGCUCGUUCAUAACCAAGGACAUUAACAAAUCUUGCUGCUUGCCUUGGAGUAUCAAGAAGCCGUCCAGCUCGAAGUGGUUUAACAUAGGAACAGACUGGUCUAUUUAUCCCAUUUUCAUCCUAGGGAAAAGGGGAAAAACAUCUGUAAUGACAUAUUAAUC